AUGGGAGGGGGACUCGUCCUGUUACAGUUGACUUCAAGGCCUACUUGGACCCGUGACAGGAAGUCUGAAGUCUUGGCAAAACAAGGAAUAAUCACAGCAAAUACUGGUGUAUUUUGGAACUUUCCAGAGGAGGAUUACAAAAUAAGCCCACCUACAGAUUCCUUCCUCUUCUUUGUCACUUCUGGAGGCUGCAAAUGAAUUUUAGGGAUCCAACUAGAGAGAAGGCAAGGAGCAGCUUGUAAUAAGAAAAUUAUUGGUAUUAUUGGGCUGUCCACAACAUCCAGAGGACCCAUUUACCAGAAUUAUCGUUGUUUAUGGGGGAACUCUCAGUAACGCUUCACCCUUUUGCCAACUGAGAGUAUUACCUAUCUACAGGAAGGCAUAAAUAUCUUUCAUGUAGGUACAAAACCUUAAGAAGAGAUUACAUUUACAAAUAAGUAGGUUGGUGAUAUUUUAUAAUGGAGAUAAUUCUGGGAACUCUGAAUUGCCCUUUCAUCUCACUGAAUAGUUAAAUCUCAUAUUUAAAUAUCGCAUGCUGAGCACUAAAGUUGAAGUUCAAGAAAGCUGCAAAUUGCUGAAAAAUUUUCCCCCAUUCCCACGCCUUUUACCUAUUUAUGUAUUCUAGUUACUUGAUUUUCUUCCUGUAUUUUGUUUGAGUUUUGUUUAUGUCAGAACAGCCAAAUUCCUGAGGUUACGAAAGCAAUUUUUGCCCAAGUUAUGAAUUAACAAGAAGCUUCUGAGCCCAUAUAUUCCUGUUCCUAAUCUAGAUAUUUCUUUACAAUAGCUGGAAGGCCAUUGAGUUCCUUAUAAUCCCACUGUCAAAGAUCUGCUUCAGCAUCCUUUUGUCUGAGUUGAUCAAUCACUCUUGUAGGUGUCAGUGUUAUGGGUAACAACAGAUAGAUCUUGGCUUUUUCCUGAAGACUGGGAUUUCUAGAACUGUCUAUAUCAAACACAAAUGAGCCAAACUGUUGUGUCAUUGCAGUCAGCCAUUGCAAUUAUUGGUUCUAUGUCUAUUUAUGCCACCUAAGAAUGUGAUAUAGCAUUUAUUUUAUUUCUUGUCAUUGAGAGUAUACUCUUGGAAAGAUGAGAUUUAAUGCAAAUAAUGUAACAGAUUUGGACCCUACUGUGAGACAUUUUGGAUUUUUUCUUCUAAAUACAUAUCUGAAUAAAUGUAAUUGAUUCACUACCA
Molecule: long non-coding RNA, 1189 nt
Filed under: Struthio camelus australis
Lineage: Eukaryota; Metazoa; Chordata; Aves; Struthioniformes; Struthionidae
Description: lncRNA (ENSSCUG00000012380.1)
Source: RNAcentral